Molecule: transfer RNA, 74 nt
Filed under: bacterium
Lineage: Bacteria
Description: tRNA-Val
Rfam family: tRNA
About the family: Transfer RNA (tRNA) molecules are approximately 80 nucleotides in length. Their secondary structure includes four short double-helical elements and three loops (D, anti-codon, and T loops). Further hydrogen bonds mediate the characteristic L-shaped molecular structure. tRNAs have two regions of fundamental functional importance: the anti-codon, which is responsible for specific mRNA codon recognition, and the 3' end, to which the tRNAs corresponding amino acid is attached (by aminoacyl-tRNA synthetases). tRNAs cope with the degeneracy of the genetic code in two manners: having more than one tRNA (with a specific anti-codon) for a particular amino acid; and 'wobble' base-pairing, i.e. permitting non-standard base-pairing at the 3rd anti-codon position.
Source: RNAcentral
GGGUCGUUAGCUCAGUUGGUUAGAGCGCUUCCUUGACAUGGAAGAGGUCAGAGGUUCGAGUCCCCUACGACCCA